Molecule: transfer RNA, 73 nt
Filed under: Dermatophagoides pteronyssinus (European house dust mite)
Lineage: Eukaryota; Metazoa; Arthropoda; Arachnida; Sarcoptiformes; Pyroglyphidae
Description: tRNA-Val
Rfam family: tRNA
About the family: Transfer RNA (tRNA) molecules are approximately 80 nucleotides in length. Their secondary structure includes four short double-helical elements and three loops (D, anti-codon, and T loops). Further hydrogen bonds mediate the characteristic L-shaped molecular structure. tRNAs have two regions of fundamental functional importance: the anti-codon, which is responsible for specific mRNA codon recognition, and the 3' end, to which the tRNAs corresponding amino acid is attached (by aminoacyl-tRNA synthetases). tRNAs cope with the degeneracy of the genetic code in two manners: having more than one tRNA (with a specific anti-codon) for a particular amino acid; and 'wobble' base-pairing, i.e. permitting non-standard base-pairing at the 3rd anti-codon position.
Source: Rfam by way of RNAcentral
GCGGUGGUGGUCUAGUGGCUAUGACGUCUGCUUAACACGCAGAAGGUCGGGAGUUCGAUCCUCCCUCACCGUA